GCUGUGCCUCUAUUAGCUCGUGACUUUUGGAUCCGGGACGAAGUGGCCAGGGCUCAACUUUCUCAUUUAUAAAGCAAAUAGCUGGAAAAAAGAAAAGCUCUGGAAGAUCUGUGGCUUCACGGAUUGAAGUCCCAGCGGCAGCCGCUCCUCGGCCUCUGUGGCUGCCCUGACAGAGGUGCGGCUCCUUCCGGAGGCCCUGGUGUAAGACCGAGGGCCUUACCAAACGCUCCGAGGAGGUGACUGCAGCGAAGAACACCCGGGAAGGAACACACCGGACAAGUUGGAAAGUAAAACAGACCUUUAUUAGUCUGGCCAGACGGCACUCCCAAAGCAAAGUAGCUUAGAGAGGCGACUAGCCCAGAGUCCGAGGCUCUUUUUAUAGGGGGUUGCAGGGGAAGUUAACAGGCGAAAUUCACAGAAGAGGAACAAAGAAGGUCACCACACCACGUGCAGAUUCAGACUCCCAAGAGACCUAGAUUUUGUCAGAGAAUUCUGCCGUGGCAUCCUGAGACAAGGAUGAAGACCCAGGGUGGGGGCACUGGAGCCCCAAACUCUCCUUCAGAACAGCUUUGCUUUUCAUGUUUUAUACAUUGGAAUUCACCCAAAGAUACUAUUUGCACAAAGAGAUAUCCUACUAAAAAUGUUUGAAAACCCACUGGACUGCUGUGUCUUAAUUUAAUUUCCUUCUCACUCUAAAAUUUGGAUCUUAGAGUGUCAGGGCAUUUGCAACUCCCUGUCUUUGCUUGGCGCUGGCAGAGGUGUGUCAUAGAGAUGAGGCUGUGGAUCUGUCUCACCUGUCUUCCUGAAGACCAUUUCUACAACUGCGGAGCUGCCGCAUGUGUACAAGGUCUGAAUCCACGGAAUCAGAGCUGAGAAGCUGACAGCUCUUGGGGCAAGUUCCGCAUGCUCUGAUUGCCUCCUCGAAGCACAGCAUGAAGGCCAGCAGCUUCUCCCUGGGCCUCCGUGAGGGUCCUCGCUGGGUAUCUUGUGGAAACAUUCAAUGCCCAGCAUCACUGGUGGCAUCAGAAAUGCCCAGGAAAUGAAGUUCUUGAAAGCUUAUAUCCAAGACCCCCAAGGACAACGCAAAGCGAAUGUGUUCCUUUUGAGGAGGGCAUGUUGAAGCAGCAAGCUACAAGUAUUUUAUUAAAAUCUCACAGAUUAUAUUAAAAACUGGGAAAAAACCCAUGAAUGUAACUGUAUUUUUCAUAUUUUGAAAUCAUAUAUUCUUUGUGUUCAGUGGCUCUAUGUACCACAAUAUUUGGCUUCUUUUUCUAGCACCACACUAUUAAUUUGAAGAGUUAGUCUAUGCAGAACUCCAUUAUGUCAAAAACUCCAUUUUUGUCAACUACAUGUGAGAUAAGACCUUUUUUGUCCUUGAACUCUUGAGCUCAAGUGAUCCUCCUGCCUCAGCCCCCUGACUAACUGCCAUCAUGCCUGAUGUAAGUUGACUGUACCUGCCCAGCUGGCCUCAUGAAUGGAUGCCUUCUUCAUGGUCAAGUAAUAGAAGUAUGGAGACUGUCUGGCUGCACCACUUCCUGGCUGGGUGACCUUUAGCAAGUUAAUUUGCCUUCCUGUAUCUGCAAGUCCUCAUCUGGAAAAUGAAGAUAACAGUGCUCAUCUCAUAGAACUGCAAUGAGGAUUAAAUGAUAAUCCCAUAAGAUGCUUACAGUAAUGUCUAGUACAUGGUGUCAAAUGUUUGCCACAUGGUCUAUCUCAGCAAAUAUUAGAUGAAUA
Long non-coding RNA from Heterocephalus glaber (naked mole-rat), 1734 nucleotides. NCBI's taxonomy places the organism in Eukaryota, Metazoa, Chordata, Mammalia, Rodentia, Bathyergidae. The record is from Ensembl.